UCCUUUAGCUCUCGAAAACCUCCCGUAACUCACUUUUAAUCAUUUUAACACCUUCGGACUUUCCGAAGUGCACCGUCCUCGCACUUUUGUCAAUUUGACUAAUGUUCGACAUUUUUAUUUUCCGAAUUUUCGGUAUAUUACAAGAUGGGUGAGGGAUAGGGUUUUUUUUUUUUUGAUGAGAGGGGCGAGAGAUCGAUUGGAUACAGAGAGAGAAGGGUGAUGAUCUCACGGGCU
Molecule: long non-coding RNA, 234 nt
Filed under: Ananas comosus (pineapple)
Lineage: Eukaryota; Viridiplantae; Streptophyta; Magnoliopsida; Poales; Bromeliaceae
Description: long non-coding RNA (ACOM_LNC043859)
Source: RNAcentral